AUCAGGUAUGGAGUUCUAAACUCAGAUUAGAAAUAGAUGUGAUUUACUGCUCAUACGCAUGCAUGCUGAUUUUAUCUUCAGAUUAUUUCAGAUUUUAUAUGUAACAUAAUGUGUCAUAGAUCUUAGAGUAGGUUGAUUUGAUGAUUAGAUCAUAUGUAUGUUAGAUUAAUUUGAUUAAUCUAGUUGUCUUCCGCUAUAAUUUUUUUGAAAAAGUUUCGAAAUACAUGCAUAAAAUCGCCUAUGCAUCUCAACAAUAUGAUGGUGUAUUAAUUUUUUCCAAGU
This 282-nucleotide long non-coding RNA is filed under the name Elaeis guineensis (African oil palm). Its description in RNAcentral is "long non-coding RNA (EGUI_LNC081801)". The record is from RNAcentral. Lineage: Eukaryota; Viridiplantae; Streptophyta; Magnoliopsida; Arecales; Arecaceae.